GACGAACGCUGGCGGCGUGCCUAAUACAUGCAAGUAGAACGCUGAAGUUAUGAGCUUGCUCUUCUUGGCUGAGUUUCUGACUUGUGAGUAACUCGUUGGUAACCUGCCUGGUAGCGGGGGAUCACUAUUUGAAUCUAUAGCUCAUUCCGCAUUACAUUGUUUAUUUCAUUAUAAUUAAUUGAAAGAUUCAACUGCAUCACUACCCGAUUGACCUGCGUUGUAUUAGCUAGUUGGUGAGGUAACGGCUCACCAAGGCGACGAUACAUAGCCGACCUGAGAGGGUGAUCGGCCACACUGGGACUGAGACACGGCCCAGACUCCUACGGGAGGCAGCAGUAGGGAAUCUUCGGCAAUGGAGGGAAGCCUGACCGAGCAACGCCGCGUGAGUGAAGAAGGUUUUCGGAUCGUAAAGCUCUGUUGUAAGAGAAGAACGGGUGUGAGAGUGGAAAGUCCACACUGUGACGGUAUCUUACCAGAAAGGGACGGCUAACUACGUG
Molecule: ribosomal RNA, 497 nt
Filed under: uncultured bacterium
Lineage: Bacteria
Description: partial 16S ribosomal RNA
Rfam family: Bacterial small subunit ribosomal RNA
Source: RNAcentral